This 101-nucleotide small nuclear RNA is filed under the name Sorex araneus (European shrew). The record is from RNAcentral. Lineage: Eukaryota; Metazoa; Chordata; Mammalia; Eulipotyphla; Soricidae.
GUGCCACUAUCAAAGCACAUGUGCUAAAUUUGGAACCAUGUAGAUUAUCAUGGUCCCUGGGCAAGGAUGACACUCAGGUUAGCAAAGUGUUCCAUACUUUU